CAUUGGAUCCAGACUUUGAUUCUGGCUCAGGACGAACGCUGGCGGCGUGCUUAACACAUGCAAGUCGAACGGGGUGUUUAUUUCGGUAAACACCAAGUGGCGAACGGGUGAGUAACGCGUAAGCAAUCUACCUUCAAGGUGGGGACAACACUUCGAAAGGGGUGCUAAUACCGAAUGAAUGUAAGAGUAUCGCAUGAGACACUUACUAAAGGAGGCCUCUGACAUAAGCUUCCGCUUGAAGAUGAGCUUGCGUCUGAUUAGCUAGUUGGUGAGGGUAAAGGCCCACCAAGGCGACGAUCAGUAGCCGGUCUGAGAGGAUGAACGGCACAUUGGGACUGAGACACGGCCCAGACUCCUACGGGAGGCAGCAGUGGGGAAUCUUCCGCAAUGGGCGAAAGCCUGACGGAGCAACGCCGCGUGAACGAUGAAGGUCUUAGGAUCGUAAAGUUCUGUUGUUAGGGACGAAGGAUAAGGAUUAUAAUACAGUCUUUGUUUGACGGUACCUAACGAGGAGGCCACGGCUAACUACGUGCCAGCAGCCGCGGUAAUACGUAGGCGGCAAGCGUUGUCCGGAAUUAUUGGGCGUAAAGGGAGCGCAGGCGGGAAACUAAGCGGAUCUUAAAAGUGCGGGGCCCAACCCCGUGAUGGGGUCCGAACUGGUUUUCUUGAGUGCAGGAGAGGAAAGCGGAAUUCCCAGUGUAGCGGUGAAAUGCGUAGAUAUUGGGAAGAACACCAGUGGCGAAGGCGGCUUUCUGGACUGUAACUGACGCUGAGGCUCGAAAGCUAGGGUAGCGAACGGGAUUAGAUACCCCGGUAGUCCUAGCCGUAAACGAUGGAUACUAGGUGUGGGAGGUAUCGACUCCUUCCGUGCCGGAGUUAACGCAAUAGGUAUCCCGCCUGGGGAGUACGGCCGCAAGGUUGCAACUCAAAUGAAUUGACGGA
RNAcentral lists this ribosomal RNA (942 nucleotides) under uncultured bacterium. RNAcentral's name for it is "bacterial SSU rRNA". It matches the Rfam family "Bacterial small subunit ribosomal RNA", at positions 1 to 917 of the family's 1533-position model. RNAcentral also lists the same sequence under 1 other name. The record is from RNAcentral.